CCCUUAGAUGUUCUGGGCCGCACGCGCGCUACACUGAUGCAUUCAACGAGUCUAAAACCUGCUCUGAUAGGGGUGGGUAAUCUUUUGAAUGUGCAUCGUGAUUGGGAUAGAUGAUUGCAAUUUUUCAUCUUCAACGAGGAAUGCCUAGUAAACGCAAGUCAUCAGCUUGCAUUGAUUACGUCCCUGCCCUUUGUACACACCGCCCGUCGCUACUACCGAUUGAAUGGCUUAGUGAGGCCUCAGGAUCCGCGCUUAAUGUGUGGAGAAUUUGGACAAACUACGUCAUUUAGAGGAAGUAAAAGUCGUAACA
Molecule: ribosomal RNA, 310 nt
Filed under: uncultured eukaryote
Lineage: Eukaryota
Description: partial 18S ribosomal RNA
Rfam family: Eukaryotic small subunit ribosomal RNA
Source: RNAcentral